This 155-nucleotide ribosomal RNA is filed under the name uncultured Alistipes sp. RNAcentral describes it as "partial 16S ribosomal RNA". It matches the Rfam family "Bacterial small subunit ribosomal RNA", at positions 355 to 507 of the family's 1533-position model. Lineage: Bacteria; Pseudomonadati; Bacteroidota; Bacteroidia; Bacteroidales; Rikenellaceae. The record is from RNAcentral.
UGAGGAAUAUUGGUCAAUGGACGCAAGUCUGAACCAGCCAUGCCGCGUGCAGGAAGACGGCUCUAUGAGUUGUAAACUGCUUUUGUACGAGGGUAAAUCCCGAUACGUGUAUCGGGUUGAAAGUAUCGUACGAAUAAGGAUCGGCUAACUCCGUG